Molecule: ribosomal RNA, 119 nt
Filed under: Pteropus alecto (black flying fox)
Lineage: Eukaryota; Metazoa; Chordata; Mammalia; Chiroptera; Pteropodidae
Source: RNAcentral
GUCUAUGGCCAUGCCCCCCUGAACACGCCCAAUGCCAUCUAAUCUUGGAAGCUAAGCAGGGUCGGGCCUGGUUAGUACUCGAAUGGGAGACCACCUAGGAAGACCAGGUGCUGUAGGCG